AAAUUGAAGAGUUUGAUCAUGGCUCAGAUUGAACGCUGGCGGCAGGCCUAACACAUGCAAGUCGAGCGGUAGCACAGAGAGCUUGCUCUCGGGUGACGAGCGGCGGACGGGUGAGUAAUGUCUGGGAAACUGCCUGAUGGAGGGGGAUAACUACUGGAAACGGUAGCUAAUACCGCAUAAUGUCGCAAGACCAAAGUGGGGGACCUUCGGGCCUCAUGCCAUCAGAUGUGCCCAGAUGGGAUUAGCUAGUAGGUGGGGUAACGGCUCACCUAGGCGACGAUCCCUAGCUGGUCUGAGAGGAUGACCAGCCACACUGGAACUGAGACACGGUCCAGACUCCUACGGGAGGCAGCAGUGGGGAAUAUUGCACAAUGGGCGCAAGCCUGAUGCAGCCAUGCCGCGUGUGUGAAGAAGGCCUUCGGGUUGUAAAGCACUUUCAGCGGGGAGGAAGGCGGUGAGGUUAAUAACCUCAUCGAUUGACGUUACCCGCAGAAGAAGCACCGGCUAACUCCGUGCCAGCAGCCGCGGUAAUACGGAGGGUGCAAGCGUUAAUCGGAAUUACUGGGCGUAAAGCGCACGCAGGCGGUCUGUCAAGUCGGAUGUGAAAUCCCCGGGCUCAACCUGGGAACUGCAUUCGAAACUGGCAGGCUAGAGUCUUGUAGAGGGGGGUAGAAUUCCAGGUGUAGCGGUGAAAUGCGUAGAGAUCUGGAGGAAUACCGGUGGCGAAGGCGGCCCCCUGGACAAAGACUGACGCUCAGGUGCGAAAGCGUGGGGAGCAAACAGGAUUAGAUACCCUGGUAGUCCACGCCGUAAACGAUGUCGAUUUGGAGGUUGUGCCCUUGAGGCGUGGCUUCCGGAGCUAACGCGUUAAAUCGACCGCCUGGGGAGUACGGCCGCAAGGUUAAAACUCAAAUGAAUUGACGGGGGCCCGCACAAGCGGUGGAGCAUGUGGUUUAAUUCGAUGCAACGCGAAGAACCUUACCUGGUCUUGACAUCCACAGAACUUUCCAGAGAUGGAUUGGUGCCUUCGGGAACUGUGAGACAGGUGCUGCAUGGCUGUCGUCAGCUCGUGUUGUGAAAUGUUGGGUUAAGUCCCGCAACGAGCGCAACCCUUAUCCUUUGUUGCCAGCGGUCCGGCCGGGAACUCAAAGGAGACUGCCAGUGAUAAACUGGAGGAAGGUGGGGAUGACGUCAAGUCAUCAUGGCCCUUACGACCAGGGCUACACACGUGCUACAAUGGCAUAUACAAAGAGAAGCGACCUCGCGAGAGCAAGCGGACCUCAUAAAGUAUGUCGUAGUCCGGAUUGGAGUCUGCAACUCGACUCCAUGAAGUCGGAAUCGCUAGUAAUCGUAGAUCAGAAUGCUACGGUGAAUACGUUCCCGGGCCUUGUACACACCGCCCGUCACACCAUGGGAGUGGGUUGCAAAAGAAGUAGGUAGCUUAACCUUCUGGGAGGGCGCUUACCACUUUGUGAUUCAUGACUGGGGUGAAGUCGUAACAAGGUAACCGUAGGGGAACCUGCGGUUGGAUCACCUCCUUA
Molecule: ribosomal RNA, 1541 nt
Filed under: Klebsiella pneumoniae
Lineage: Bacteria; Pseudomonadati; Pseudomonadota; Gammaproteobacteria; Enterobacterales; Enterobacteriaceae
Description: bacterial SSU rRNA
Rfam family: Bacterial small subunit ribosomal RNA
Source: RNAcentral